UAUAAUUUUAGGUCUAACCUGCCCAAUGAUUGAUUUAAUGGCCGCGGUAUAUUGACUGKGCAAAGGUAGCAUAAUCAUUAGUUUUUUAAUUGAAAGCUUGUAUGAAAGGUUUGAUGAAAGGAUUUCUGKCUCUAUAAAAAUUAAUUARAAUUUUAUUUUUAAGUAAAAAAGCUUAAAUUUGCAUAGAAGACRAGAAGACCCUAUAGAGUUUAAUAUUUCUAAUUAAAUAAAAAUUUAAAGAAAAAAUUAAAAUUUAWUUARAAAUAUUUUGUUGGGGCGAUAAAAAAAUUAAAURAACUUUUUUUGUUUUUAUACACUUGUUUGUGAAUGAUUGAUCCUAAAAUUUAGAUUACAAGAAUAAAUUACCUUAGGGAUAACAGCGUAAUUUUUUUUAGAGUUCUUAUCGAAAAAAAAGUUUGCGACCUCGAUGUUGGAUUAAAAUUUAUAGUUGGUGAAGGAGCUGAUAUAUUAGGUCUGUUCGACCUUUAAAAUUUUACAUGAUCUGAGUUUAGACCGGCGUGAG
Molecule: ribosomal RNA, 523 nt
Filed under: Trigonopterus sp. 159 AR-2022a
Lineage: Eukaryota; Metazoa; Arthropoda; Insecta; Coleoptera; Curculionidae
Description: partial large subunit ribosomal RNA
Source: RNAcentral